Molecule: long non-coding RNA, 15690 nt
Organism: Falco peregrinus (peregrine falcon)
Lineage: Eukaryota; Metazoa; Chordata; Aves; Falconiformes; Falconidae
Exons: 2
Source: RefSeq, a predicted model, not a curated record
GUUUAAUGUCAGGCUUACUUUAUACCUCUGAAGGAGAAUUCUACUUAGAAUAUUUUAAAUACCAUUUAAUACCUUUCCUAUCUGCAAAAUCAGUUUCUGAAAACUUGCUCUUAACUUGGCAAGUGGGAAAUGGUUCUAAAAAACUCUACAGACAUGUAUCUGUACAACUCUGAUUUCUGCUACAGAGUGGUAUUAACAGUUCUACAGAACUAGUAGUCAGUGGAUUCAGAGUUUCAGUCAGAAAUGCCCGAUACCACUGAAGUCACCAUAGUAGAAUUAAUACCUAGGUGCUGAAGUCAAUUCCUCUAUGUCCCAUCAGUGGUAUGCAUCGCUAAAGUAUUUCAAGGAAUCGCAUUUGCUUUUAUGCAUUGUUCAGUUAAAGGCUACAAUCAGCACAUUUGAUUUUUUAAUACAGUAUACUAAUUCCUAAUCCUAUGGCAGAUAUGCCAUUACUUGACUAAGCGUCUUUCAAACUGUCACAAUCACUGCCAUGAAAUAUCUACAGUUCAGUGAUAAUAAUUCAUACUUAUAUAAUACAAUUCUUUCAAAUUAUUUUAUAAGACCCCUGAAAUGCAACCAGUGUUACAGUGGAGAAUGACAUUCAAGUUAUGUUUGAAAGUCACACAAAGAAAGCAGACAAGUUAAUUUUUGAGAAAACCAAAUGCAAACCUCUACCCUUAAUAAGGACAGUGAAGACUUUGAAGUGUGGGUAAAACAGGAACUUAUUUUUCAGCACAUCCACCAGAGUCCUACUUGGUAAACCAUGCAGUAUUUAUUUACCUUUCUCUGAAAAUGGAAAUGCUGAGGAAUUAAUCAAUGGUCCCAAAGAGAAAGAAAAAGAUUAAGUGUUUUAAAUCAAUGCCUUUCAACAGUAUAUUCAGCCAGAAAUAGAUAUAUUGUUAAUCUGCCUGGUGAGACGUUGGCAGGUAAAAGCCAUAUUUUUAAAGGUAUUUAUGUACCUGGAAAUGCAGAAAGGUAUCCAUUGGGCUUUUCGAAAGUACCUUCAUAAGUACCAGAUUCUUUGUAGGGGUUUGAAUACUGUGGCUCUGACAGCCUCCUGAAGGCUCUGUGAAUAUCGUCACAGAGAAAUGGGCUCUACAUUCUGAAGAAAAAAAAUAACCAAACAAAAAAACCACGGGGUUCACAAAUGGAGAAAAAAAAGCUACAUUUUAAAUCUCUACAAACUGAAGUGAUAAAAUAAAAUCUUCUAAUCUUUAAAGACACCUAACACUUAGAGGAAGAUCAUUUCAAUACAGAGAGUAUUAUUUCUUUGUCUGUGCCAUCUCUGGUGAUAAGCUGUCUGUAGUUUAGCUGAACCUUUUCUGAAGUCUUGCUUUCUCCUUAGGCAAAAGUGAAACAGAAAACCAACCAGAGGGCAGGGAUGACCUACCUCAGCUCUGUUUUCUAUGGAACAAUUGCAAUCAUAUCACAAGGUUUUACUAUUAUAGGAAGUGAAAUAAUGGAAGAAACCCAAAUCAUCAAAUAAAAUACACAGACAUUAGAUAUACACUAGACUUUUCCAGAUGGUAAACAGAACUCUCAACCCAUUUAAAUCAGCACAGAUUCAUUAAAGCCAACACACUUUGUUAUCAUAUACUUUUCAUGACUGGAGAGGGUUCUUGAAGAAAACAAAAAUUACCUGUGCUUGUUUCAUAAGCCCUUGGCACUUCUGAAAUGCUGUAAAGGACUUUAUUAAAAUGAGACCAAAGUCUUCUCUCCCUGAUCCUGGAAAAGAAUAACAAGGCUAUUUAGCUGUCCUUCUUAAAGUAACCAAACUGUAUCACAGGAAAAAAAAAAAAAACCCUUUAAAAUUUCAUAGCAGAGGUGAGUAGAGCCAAAUAUCUUUCAAAGAACAGAAAAUCAUGUAAAAAUUAGCUAGACUCCAAGUGUUCAUGGAAACAACUCAUGUCUCACAAAAUCCCCUCCACCCAAAUAAGUACAUUUCAGUUUUUUACUGCCUGUCAGUCCAAUGCAUGCUACGUAAACUUGCCUUGCACAGAUUUGACUUGUUCACUCUUUUACAGAGCUAAUUUAAAACCAUGCCCACUCUACAAAUUUUCCAGCAGGACAGUCAAUAAUCUACUAACCUGAUAUGUUGCUUUACAAUUUAUCACAAAAAAAGACAAUGAAGUUAAAUGCAGCAGAAGCGUGCAGACAGUCCCAGCAGUUACGGUUCAUUGAUAGUGUGUUCUACAGCCCAAACUAAAGAUUUGUAGUAGAUCAAGUUAUUUUUCUUUCAUAUCCUGAGAAAAGUCUACUAAAUUACACAUAUUUUGACACCUGUAACUCAAGCAUAAGAGAGAGACAGCUAAUGAAUGAAACCAGAUUUUUCUUACGGCUUUCUUGGAGCUUGCCUAUCAGUAAAUAAGUUACCAGGGUUUUUCGCCUUUUCUAUUGUAUUAAGUGAAUGCCUCAUGCAAAGAAAAUGCCAGUUUCCUGCUCUCCAUUUUAUACUUGGAAACAAAAAAAGAAUAUGCAGGAGUUUUUACUGAGGCAAAUGCCAGUUUGCUCAUGCAGGCAAGCAGUUCAGCAAUCAGACAAAGCAGACAGCUGCAGAUUGGUUUAUGAGGUGUGGAAUGCAAGAACAGUCAUCAUUUCUUUGAAUGGCACCUAUUAACCAUCUCCUAACAACUUUUUAGCCUCCAUGGACAACCUCUGAGGAAAAGCAAUGACUUCCAGUCUGACUGUCCAGGUUAAAAUGCUAGUUUGAAAAGCAGCAGCAACCACAACCGCUGCCUUUUAUUGAAUGAAACGUGUCUGAAGGAUCAUGCUAAUCUGCUAACAGAUGUCUCACAUGAUGGACGUGGUGAACAGGGAAAGACUUUCAUAAACUCCAGAGCAAGGCCAUGACUAUGCUCAGAUGCCAAAUGUAGUUUAGAUAUGAAGACAAAGAAAUGUGAAGCCGCUAAGCAUUUUUAUUCUUUUUUUAUUAUUAUAAAAUUCAUAUAGAUGUUCAUGGAAGAAAGAGAACCAGCUCUGUCUAUAAAAUCCUCAGAAUAUUGUGGAAUAUCUAAUCAUUUUCCCUCAAUUUGGUCUAGCUAAGAGGUGUCCUCAAAAGGGCUCUCUCCUGACACAUGAUCAAAUGUAGGUUAGCUCAAGAGGAAAAGGUAAAAGUUAACACAAAUCAGAACAUCAGAUCAUUAGUAGUUAAUCCCACAACAAACUGACAUUUUAAUUCAUUCCUUUCAUGAGAUGGCUUUAUUUACUGCAUACCUCAAUAGUGGUUUUCUCUCAAAAUCAUGGGGAUAUGGUCUCCAUGAGAUGUGGUGGUGCUGUUCUUACUGAGUAUAUGCUAAUGCCACUUGCCUUGUUAUUCAACUGGGAAAGAAAAAGAUGCAGGAAAGCAAAUGUAGCUUUAGGUGAACCUUGAUAUAAGGACAAAAGGGCCCGUACUGCCCUGCUUCUGCUUGCUUCUGUAGAAAUCAUGAAAAAGAGAAGAAAAUAGCAGGCAGGAAGAAAAAGGUGCUGCAACAAUGAGGUCAAUGAUUAUAUUUAUGAUAUUUACAGGUUUAGCUAAGUUAAGCUAAAGAUAGCACUACAUUAUUUUCCAAUAAAGACAACAAAGAAAGCAAACAGAUGCAUAAAAUACAGCAAUAUAAAAUGUUUUUAAAUAAAGUAAUAAACUGCUGAAAGGAUCAAAGUUUUCAAUAUUUUUGAAGUGCUUAUAUUGAUAUUUCAUUUGCAGGAGGUAACAACAUUCCUUUAAAUCAUUGAGAGUAAUUGAACUGAUGUGGCUGUAAGUUGUUUGCUGUUCUGAGGAUUAAAUAUAGGAAAUGUAAGUCACCAUUCUAUAGUUAAUGGUCCCAUAAAUAAAUAAAGUCCUAUUCUGCUUGACUUCUGUGGGUGAGUAUCAGAAUACGAUUAUUUUUUUUCCUAAAUAAACUGGAAUCAAAUAAUUUAAAAGUUUAUACACUUGCUAGCAAGAUGUACCUCAUGUCUGCUUACAAAAACUAAGUAGUUCAAUGUGUCGUGCUUUUACAGUACUGUUUGCAAAAAUUACAUUCCAUUGCUGCUCUUCUGAUUGGCUAUAAAAAACAUGUACAGGAUUUACACAACAUUGGAAAGACCUUGACAACAUUACUUCAGAUGUCCAGAUGAUGUAUAACAAAAAUCUUUACAGCUUUACUUGCAAAACCCCUCAUGCAAUGCUGAAUAUUUCUGUGCUAUACUUUCUGCUAAGUGUAAUUGAGAACAUGCUUGCAUUAAUGUUGUCAGGAUUCCAAAACAGAAUAAAAAAACCCAGAGGCUCUUUAAAAUUGCAUGAGUACUUAAGUAUAAAACUAGAUCAGGAUUCUGGAAAGGAGACAUAAUAGGAUUUCCUCUACGGAUCCCUGUGAAGAUGUUUUGGGAAGCAAAUGGCUUUUCUCCAGAGCUUGUAAAUUAGAUCCCUUAAAUCAUAUCCUAACAUUUAUCACUACUCCAAAUUGCCACCAACUCCCAAUGCCUUUCAAAUCAGUAAUUUUUGAAGUAAUGUAAAUAGAGUUAAAGAGCCCAGAUGAGGUGCUUGCUAGAGACAGAAAAGGGACACCACUCUCCAUUCACAUGCUGAAACUCAUAUGUAAUGGUUUAUCUAUUCUGAAUUCCUUGAAUGUUCUACAGUUUGCCUAUAAUGCGUACAGUUUCAAGGACACUGGAACUGUUCUGAAGAACAAUGAGACUAGGGUAGCACAUUUUAAGCAAAAUGAAUAUUGGCUUACUAGAGUUGCAGUAACAAUUUUAUUCUGACUAUACUUUUCUGAAUGUAGCAACCUCAUUCAACAUUUAUUGCCCCUUCAACUGCUCAGAAUUACAGGAGCCAAAAAAAUGCACGUGUUCACGUUAAAGCCAUUUUCACCUCCUAGAAGGUGAUCAGCAAUAAACACAAUACAAUACUGUUAACACACUGCAGAGUUCAAAGUUAAUCUUUAUGCACCUGUAGAUACAAAGCAGCAAAGGAUGCAGAAAAAUAAGUUUGCAAGAAACCCUCUUUUACUGGAUAAAGAAUAGAUAAAAAAAUAAAAUUCAUAGAUAAUAGAUAAUAAAAGUUAAUCGAUUUAAUGUUUUAGUUUUCUGUGUUAUCCAACACAGAUCUAACUCCUGUACAAGGUCACUCUGGAUAAAUCAGACACAAUCUAAACUGUCUAUCAUCAUCUUGCCAGUCCUCAGUCUUCCUUUUUUGAAUCUGAACCCUAGAAGAAUUCAGUAUUUUAUGAUUUAUUUUUUUAACAUAAUGCUAGAGAAGCAAUUAUGAAUGUCACUGUCACAGCUGAUAUCUGAAAGUCUGGGGUUUUUGGAUCUUGCUGAAUAUACAUCAAAGUUCUAGACAUUAAUUCCACCUCUCUUGGGUGGUAUUCCACAGCUUAACUUCUCCCAGCAUUGAUCUGAGUCACAGUAAGAUGUUGGUCAUGACUAUUUUCUCAAACAUAUCUACAGAUUUAAAGCUAUAUGAUGUCACAAUGAUCAUCCUUGCAAAACAAGAAGCAAAACAUGAAUUCCUGAAAGGUAGGAACAUCUACAGAACUGUGUGAAAGCUUUGAUUUUCCCCUGAACUGAGCUAACCUCAUUCCUGGAGGUAAAGCAAAAGAAAACAAAGCAAAACAAAACAAAACCCAACACCCCACUCGGCUCACUGUACAUGAUGUUUCCCCAUGUCUCUUGCAGUCUGACUGUCAGCUUUCCAUUGAUUCAUCCCUCAUAGCCUUUCCUAAUCUAUUCAUGCCACCUCCCCUUUUCGAAAGUCUUUGAAGUUUCAGAUCUCUGCUGAACCCAGGCAUAGCCCUAGGAAGAGUACCCCAUUCCAUCCUGCACAGAGCCAGUUUGUCUCCCAAUAGCCCAGCAGCCACUCAUAUCUGAAAUUCUUUGAAGUUAUAUACUUUAGGCUGUCUUAUCUGUGCCGUUGUUCUACCUUCUCACUCCUUUAACAACGUUGUUGCCGCUUCCCAUGAUUUAACUCUACGCAUUCAGGUUAGCAACAGCAAAACUGAAUUGAGGAGUCAUAGAUAGUCAACACUAGAUUCAUAACAAAUUCUCAAAGUAUAUAUUUCCAGCUUUAUAGCUUGGAUAGAAGAAAAUGCAUCCUGCAAAUGCCAAUUAAUACAUUUUUUUCAGUUCUAAGUAGUUAUUUAAAUUUUAAUCAAAUGAAGCAGAGCAAGAUUAAUUUUAAAUACACGAUGCUUUGUGACUCAAAUUUAUUGACACCAAUAAGAUGCUUAUAGCCCUUAAAAUAUUUUCUGGAAGCUAUGAAAAGCCAGGCCUACUUAGGAUGUAAGCUUACCUCGCUUAACUGAAUGGAAAUCACACCAGAAUUUGGGCCUCUACGUUCCCUGUAUAAUGCACAAGAAGACUUAGGUCUCUCAGAAGGGUGACCCUGCACUAUUAAUAGAAUGUUGCUUGGAGUACCCACCAGAAAAUACCUCACCAUGGAGUGCUUAUCUCUGUGACUCUAGGGAUGGUCCUUCCAGUUCUGGAAGCAAGGUCUCCUUGUGAGGACAAGGACAUACCUUUCACACAGCUGAGGAGAACUUGUUUUCUUUCAGAACAGAGCUGCAGCACGGUGGUGUUCCUAUGCAUACCGAUGGGUAGCUUUAAAUGGCUGUGGCUGAGCCAGUUAAGUCAGGAUCCCUUUCCAGCCAAGUGACAGAAGGAAAUAUUUGGAGGAGUUGGCUGACCUGACAUUCUUUAGACAGUUAUUCUUCCAUAAGAUGAAUCACAUCCUGAAUGUGCUAUCCAUUUACUGCUGAGGUAGUCGAGCUAGUUGCCACCUAAAAAGUAGGCACCUAGAGUUCAAUUAAAGUAACCUCCCACCUCCGUCCUCGUGACUAGAAUACUUUGUGAAGUAGAAGAUCCUCUCUAGUCUGAAUGGGUUCAAAGCCAUGCAGUGCUUCUCCAGGUGGCUGCAUGCCCCCCAUGCCUCCAACAGAAUCUGUGCUGUUGUGUAGAAAAGCACAAAGUGCAAAGGCCAGUCAUCUGAAAGGCUCCAGGGAAAGCAGUUUUGUCCUAUACUCUGAUCUUAGCAUUGGCUUUUAUUUUGUUUCUCUUGUUCCUACCCUCCACCCCACCCACCUGCCCCUACUAAAUAUAAACACAUAGCUCUAUAAUGAAGAAUCAAACCCAGGACUCCUUUUUUCUUAAGCAUCACCUACUGGGUAAGUGUAUUAGUCCCAAGUCUGUAAAGUAAAAGAUAGUCAGACUGCCAUCACUUCUCCUCCAGAAGCUAGUUAUUUAAGGAAAAUAGCUAGGAAGCGAUGCUGACAGGGUCCCAGUUCAGUAGCUCUGUGGUGGAAUGACAUUCAGCAAGAAGUUCCUCCUCCUCCUCUGCCAAGCCAAACACUUUGGCAUUAUUGUGUGUCACUUCUGACUUCCUAGCAUAGGUGAGAACCAGGUUGUCCAUUCUGGCCUGUGCAAGUGACAAGACUUUAUGAAUCACACCUGGGGGACUAUCUAGUGAUGAGAAAACAGCUAGAUGCCUUUUGGUUUAAGCAGUUACUGUGUGAGCAGAAUUUGAAUCACGACUUAGAUUUAGGUGUCAGAUUCCUGUCUAGAGCCCAUUUUAGAUAACUGUGAUUUUUUCCCCUAAUGUUUCCCAAUGACAAACCAAUAUACCAUAAUACAGUUGGAAAGUUUUUAAAAGACUGAUUAACUAAAUCACAGUCUAUACAUCAUUUAGGAUAAGUUUCCUAGUAAAUCUCUUCAGACAAUUCUUCUAGCUUGAUUUACAUAAAACUGUCACAUGAAAAUGGUGAGGCUUGAUGUGCAUCAAUCAAGUUAUUAAACAGAAAUAUUUUCACCUAUUUGUUUUACUAGUAUUUUGAUUAUAGAACUGUAAAAGAAGGUGAAAGUUAUCUGUAAUAGCGUUGUUAAAAGCAGAAUUUGGAACAGAUUUUUAACAAACUUAUUAAAGUGCAAGAAUCAGGUAAAUUUUGCUGUUAUAGUAAAUUUUGGCAUGAAACUUCAGAAUUUUACUGUAUGAUUUCAACAUGGCAAUCUACACUAGUGAGAAUGUAAGAUUAAUUUUUACUUUGAUAUUUAGCCUAACCAGAUUUGGGGAGCAAAAAAAUUCGCAAAGUGACCAAACAUAAAACUCAAUAUACAUAAAGGAGGGAAGCCCAUUUUCUAAUCUGUAAGGAAAAAUCAGUUAGGCGUUGCCUAAGAAGUUAUUUGGCAGAACUUUUCAAUUUAUCUUUGGUCCAAAAAGAAAAAAACCCACUUUGUUUACGUACCUCCAUUGGCCACGCUUCACAAAUAAAUGAGACUGGUAAAAAUCUUAUGCCUGCCAAGAAAGAACCCCCUCUUGAUUAUUGGCAUUUCAAUGCAAUUACAGAAUUCAGGUUUAAAAAUUAGACGGGAUGAUAAAAAGCACAUUCUUCAUAAAUAUUUAACCUUCUUCAGUAUGACAGUAAUUAUAGUGUGGAGCUCAGUAGCUGCAUAUUCCAUUUAAAAGAUCUGUCAUGCCUUCCCUUCGAAAUGCUUCUUUUCAAAGGUUUGCAAUGCCAAGAUAAAAAGAAAACUCCCCCAAGGUGGAAACUUGGAAUAAAGUCUCAGCUUCUAAAAAUUAUUAUUAAUGGUAGAUUCUGAGGAUGAGAGAGUCUGUUUGAAAUAUAGUGAGAUUUUACAAGCACUGCUUUCUUUUCCUGAGCAAAAUAUUUAAUAACAUUGGAUAAUCUUUACAUUCUAAAAAUAUCUGGGAAAAAUCGCAAAAUAUUUUCAAAAUGGAAACACUGAUUUUUGUUAAAUGUUUUUUGUUUUGAAGUGUCCUUUGAUCUUACUGGUAACAUUUCAUCCUUUUAAAAAGUACUUGAAGUAAAGUUGAAGUAUUUGGUGUUGAAUACAAUUGGUUUAGAUCAAAUGAAAUGUUUUUUUUUUUUUGCAGAAAUUCCAGAUACCUUAAAAACUAUUAUUCACUCAGCUUUAGAUCAGUAUAUAUACAUUUUGAUAGGUAAAACCAUGUUUUCAUAUUAUAGAAAGCUAGUGAAUGGCUUUGAAGAAGGUUUUGAUAAUGCUUAACUCGAAAUUCUAAGUUGUUUUAUUAGGGGAAGGUAAUUCAUCUAUUUGAAGUUUGGUGGGGAUAAGGUGGGAAGAGGGAAAGUGCUAAACCUCAGCCAUGCUCAUGGAAAUGUGGAUGUGAAGAUUAAGCGAAGUGAACAAGUGAAGAUAACAGGUCUUGUCAGGAGAUGGUGAUAUUUGUGGCUGUGCUGGCACCCAGGCAUCUGACCGAGGCUUUCACUUGUGAUAGAAGCAGGUGGGUAAGUCUCUUGCCAGGACAGAGUCUUGUUUUGGUACUCAGCAGCUGCAGUCAGAACACCUUAGGAACACUCUCUCUUUCUUGCAAGGAGAGAGUGGGAGCAGUUCCCAGGAGCUGCUUUCCCAUUCUCUGCCCACACAGUGUGGAUAAGAAACUAGGCUAGUUUGUGCGUGGGUGGUUGGUGGGAAGGAGGUAAAGACAGACACAUAUGUUUAUAUGGCACUUCAUCACUACUGGAGGUCAGUCAGGUUUGGAGCCAAGCUGCUGCUUAUGCAGCUUUGAAAAGCUUCUUCUCUGUCCUUGAAGCUGAACUGUUAUUAGAGGCAAAAUUCCUCUCCAGCCUCAUGGCUGUAUCAGUGAAGAGUAACUGCCAAUAUCUCUAUAAGAUGUUGCAUACUCCUCUUUAAGAUUAGUCAAAGAAAUGCAGUUGAAACUCGAGUUUCACUUCAGACUCUCUUAAGCACUGAAACAUUUAAUGAGAAGUUCUUUAUGCUUCACUUCUUUCUUCUGCUAGGCUUUUUCUAAAAAAUUAAGAACUUGGGUGUUCAUAAUGGUUUUAGCUCUAAUUACCUGUUUACAGUCAUGGACUAUUUAUAUUCAUUUACAUUGCUUUGCAUUUAUGGCACUGUAUUCCACUUCAUUUUUGUCACUCUUAUCAAUUAGUUAGAAUGAGGAUUUUCUGCAAUUCUUGACAGUCAGCUUCAGAUUUGUCUGUUUUAAAUUUAAAUAAUUUAAAUAAUUCAAAAUCAUAUAAAAACUUUAUUAUUUCCCUAUUCAUCCCUUUUGUGGAUUUUCUGAAUAUGCUACAUAGGAUCUCUUAGAAUAUACAGUUCUAUUGUCACAGCCAAGCAUACACUCCUGCCCUUCGUUCCAUAACUUUCAAACAGUUGCUGAUCUAUGAGGCAACUUUUCUUUUUUUCCUAUGACAGCUUCAUUUCAACAGUAUUAACCUGAUCAUCCUUACUGAUAUGCUGUUAACUUAGUAGAUAUGUGAAAUAGGACUUCCCCCUACCCAGUGACUCUUCCUUCAGAUAAUAUGUAACCAUUUCUCUACUAACUCUAGUACACAGGGUACUCAUCACUCAAUAUAAAGUGUAUUUAACUGGUUAAGUUAUAAAAUUCAUAUUUUUACAUUACCUCUGGGAGAACCCUAAACCUUUAUUUAAUAUAAAAAAAGAUAUCAGAGUCUGGGUGGUUAUUCAGCUGAGUAGCCUAAAAUGUGGUACAAAUCUACACAUUUGUCUAGUACAGAAGCCAGAUUCACUGACCCUUGGUUUCUCAGGAUCCUUUCUGAUUCUUCUGAAGGUUUGCAUUUGUAUUAAGGUUGAUUAAGCAAUGGAUGAUAUACCACAGUCAUUGACCAAAUUCACUUCACUAGGUCCUAUUUCCCUUCCUAGUGCUCUAAAUUUACUGCAUUUCAGAGAUGGAAAGAACAGCCAAACCAAGGAGUGAAUAAUAAAAUAAUAAAGGAGAGAAGUCUAUCCAUUCAGAAACAGAAAUAAAAAUUAAGGAAAAAAAGGGACUUAAAUGGGGAAGAAGUAUAAAUUUUUCAAAGAUACUUUUUUCCCCCAAGAGCAAUAUUCUACUGAAGACUGUUCUAUUCCCAGCGCUGUGUAAUAUAUAGAACUCACCUAGAAACUCACUGCUCUACUUGCAACUCCAUCUUCUUUCUAGGGUUACAAAAUGGAAGGUUUGAGGUACUCAUGUUUCCUCUUUCAAGGAACUCAUGACCAAUAGGAUUGACAUGCAACUUUAUUUAAUAACACCUAUGAAAAAAAGAACUUUAAAAUAAAGCAAUCUUCAUUCACUGUUAUAAGAUAGAUUUUUCUCAAAAAUUAGACCAUAAAUGACAAGGCGAGGCUUGAAGCAGGAAUCUGGAUGAAAAAUAUACUUGCAAAUAAACAAGCAGGCCAUAAAUUCAUAAAUUUUAAAAUAUAAGGAAAAAUACGUAAGCUUCCCUCAGGAAGACAUGGUUAUCUAAGGAUGAAUCUGUCAUUAUUGGGACAGGGCUACCUCUCUUUUAUGCAUUGUGCUCCUUCUUCACUAGUAUGUGUCAGGUUUUAACCUCUUCACAUAACCAUAGCUGUCAAGUAACAAAGAUGAUUCCCUCACAUGUGCCUUCAAACCUCAUGUCUGCAUUCACCUACACUCUUGCCAAAUUCUUAAGAAGAGACAUGAGAGUAAAAAGGUUAUCUGGUCUAGUAUUUUUUUUGAAGAAAUCCUAGUCAUUAGUGAACAGAUAAUUUUUGUGGUUUGAUUUUGAGGCAGAAGACAUUGAUUCAUUUCAUUUGGCUAUUAUAUAAACUGUUAAAAUGAAGAAGUCACAAUAAAUGAAAUUUAUUUUACUGAAGUUGUUCAUGUUUAUGUGAGCAUAAUCAUGUAUGAACAUAUACGAGUCCAUAAUUUAAGGCUUUUUGCAGUUCAAUAGUCUGAGCUGCUCUAUAACUCUUGCAAUGAAUGAACUCUCUCAGUGUCCAUUAUGGGAUGAUAUUGGAAGACCAUAAAUACUUGAUUGUCUUUGUCCUUAUCCUCUUUCAGUAGUGAACACAUCAUCAAAGGUAAAAUUUACACAACAGCUCAGGCUUAAGCACCAACAGAACUGAAAAGCUUUGUGUGAAUGUCAGAAGACUCUGUGUUGAUACCAACCAUGAGCAUUCUGAGACAAAAGAAUACUCUAGAAAAGGCCACCUCUUCCUUUCCGAUACAGAUGAAGAUUGGAAGUUCUGCCCCUUUUCCUUCCAGGACAAGACAGGAAUCCUGCUGCAGCAAACUCUCCAGGAUCAUUACUAUGCAACCUACUCUCUGCAUCUCACUGCUUCUGGAAUAGUGAUCCUUGCCUUCUCCUGAGCACAGCCUUCAAAAACCAUGAACUUGGCAUGAUCCACCUCUUGGACUUCACUGCUGCCAAGCAGUCUGAAUAUGCAGGGUGGUGUCCUAAGGUACCCAGGAUGCAUGAGCAAGCCAAUCACCACAUGUACUAGAGGGUUCAGCCAUGCUAGGGGUAUGUUUACAGGUAUGGGUUCAACAUGCUGUGUUGAAAAUAACGCAAACUUAAAAAAUUGCUAUGCCUAUGUCCCACUGUCAUUUAAACCUCCUGUCCUCACCUCUGCACUGCAGUUUAUUCUCUCUUCAUGGACCUCCUCCAUUAUCCUCAUAUAACAUGUGCCACUAAAACUGGUUGCAGGCCUUUUCUAUGGAUUAGAUCACUAAAAUGAACGGAAAUUUUUAUCUCCCCUUGGAAAUAUUUCUUUUUUUAAUCAUUUUUUCUUUAAACCAAGCACAUUUUCAUGGAGCAGGUGACAGUUCCAUGCUUUAGAUAAGACUGUCCUAGCCAAACCCUUAUGGAGAUACUGUUCUUGACUACCUUCAGAAAAAAAAUAUUAACACCAUGAUUAUAAUUAGCCAACUAUUAAUCUUUAAAGAAGGCUCAAAGAACUACAGGAAUUUGACAGAUAAAAUGGAAUUUCAUAAUUAAAUCUCAGUUUUAAAGGCAGAGAGGGUCCACAUGUAGGCAGCAAACAGAAUAAUAUAUUCUUCAUUAAUUUAUCACCACGUAAUAAAUAACAAAUAUACCUUCAAUAAUCAUUUAUCAGUGAAAUGCCUGCCCUAUUUAAAGCAAACACUUCUAACUGGAUAUGUGUAAGUAGAAGAAAGGUACUGUCAGCAAGCUAUUCUGAAUCUUUGUGACAAAAAUGGAUGGAGAGACGGCAGAAGGGAGGGGGCAGAAAUGGAAAUAUUGUAAAUUAUUAGAUGCAAUUCUAUAUGAUACAUAUUAUCAGAAUGAUUCACAUAGCAAGAUAAUAACUAGAAAUAAAACUCUAAUCAUCCAGCAGCAAAGUAGAGAAUGUUGUUGCUGUUAAGAAUCCUGAAACAGAAUCAAAGAAAGAGGAAAAUAAAGAAAAUGGAAAAUUUGAAUAGGAGUGCAAAAGACUGCAAACUAAAAAUAGAGGUGUGAUGGGGAAAACUACAUCUGAAGAUUGGAGAAAUGAGGGAAAGACACACCCCCUCCUUUCCAAAAGACUUGCUGAUUUUUUUCAAAAACUGUGUCAGGCUAGAAUAGAAAUGGGAGGUUACACUUUGUGGUGAAAGCCACAGAAAAGGAUACAAAAUAAGAGCUCUAGUGUUAGCAUACAAAGCAUCUCAGCCCAAGUCUACAAAGUUUCACAAAUGAGAUUUCCAACUCAACAUAACCAAUGCCUGUGUGUCAAAUUAAAUAUUAAAUGUUGAGUCCUCUGUUAUCAGGAAGUAAUUCGGUGCCAUUGACUUCAAAUAGAGAUGGAGCAAUUAACACCAGCACAGAACCUGGCCUGAUCCAUUAGUGUUUGUAUUAGCAAGGGGAAGCACAAUUUCCUGUUAAUUUGUGACAAAUUUACAAUAACUCUGACUGUUGCAGCUCAGAAAGUGGAAGAUGAAGCAAGAACUGCAGAGCAGCUGGAGGAAGCUCAUUUUAUGAGAAAUGUGCUUCAUGCGCCUUGCAAAAGCAAUACCACUGCUAAUAAACUUAACCAUGUUUUUACAUGCAUACAAUGAGUAUAUACACACUGAGGAAGGACCAGUCCUGUCCAGAUAGCUAAAAACCACAAACAUAUUCAGGAAGGACAAAGUUUUCUUUAAGAUGUUAGUUAACACAUGUUAAAUAUAUUCCUCAAAUCUCAGCUAACUUCCACUGGCUGAACACUCAUGGUGACAAAUGCAGUGAGUCCUGGUACCUUGAAACUCCAGAUGUGAGAGAUUUAAACUCUGUUAGUCUGUUUAAGCCUGAAGGUGGCCAUACACUAGGGGUUCUGUCCAAAACUUCUGCUUCUUUCGUUUUGGUCUGACCAAAACAGUAACCCUGAGUGAGUGUCUAUCCCUGCAAAUUACUGGAAAGUGAGCUGAGUUGAAGCUCUGCCCAUCCCACCUACAAAACAUGUUUUUCAGUGAUCUUCCCAUUCCUGGUAGUUAGCUAGACAUUUUUCCAUUGGACUGUUAUACCAAUGUAUAAGUGUUCUACAAGAACAGGAUGUGAUGAGCCAUUUGACAGAAGCAGGUAGGUUUCCUACAGAGGACAGCACACUUUACUGGCAGGUCACCGAGCUUCCCAACAGUGUGCCAGACAAGCUAAACACAGCCACAAAUCUGACAAUUGCAGAAUAAAAACUAAAGCCAUGAACAGUAGGGCUUUAUUGCUGCCUGCCAUGGAGUUGGAAAUAUUUUGCUCAUGGGACUUGAGUGAAGCCAAGACUGCCAUGCUAAUAGAAUAAUACUUUCCUUUUAAACAAAAUACGUAAAUAUCCGUAAUGAGAAAAAAGUAAGAAUCUGAAAAACAGAGGACGUUAAUCAACCCUUACAAAUAGUUGACAAGGUAUGGCCUUGGGAAAAGGAAUAGACACCAUAAAUAAGUCAAACUAAGAAAUAACAAGAUAAGCUCAAGGAGAACCGAAGGGUUAAUGAGACCAAACAGACAAUUACUUGAACCAUGUAUGAACUGUCCCAAUUAGCAUACUACAAGGCCUGCUCUUGAGCAAAAAAAGCCCCCUACUAACAAAGCCCCCUCCCCACAGAACAUGCAGGGUGAAAAGAAAGAAUACUGUACCUUUAAAUGGAGAUGGGGCUUGUAAGAACCAGUAAGAAUUGUGACCAAAUGUAAUAGUAAAGCAUUGUUCAAAGUGUAGAAAAUGUUUUACUAUGUAUUAAGAGGUGUGCUAGCUUUGUGGAUUUACCACCUGGCACCAUCUCUGCAGAGACAUGCAAUGAACAAAUAUCUCAGCUUUGUGUGUGGAUUAGCCCUUGCACACCGGAUGAAGAACCCAGAAUUGGAAUAACAAUGCUGGCUGGAUGUGGCCAGGGAUAUGUAAGCCACCAGGAUUGUGGUGUUUUUCAGGGAGCUUACGGAAGUUCAUCAACAGUUUCCUUUUGAGAAAACUGUAUAAAUGAUCCUUUGUAUUUUCAUUUCUUCAUAAAGGCAGAAGUUCAAUACAUUCCUUUCUAAAAAAAAAAGUCAUUAUUUUGUUCAAAAGCGGAAACAUUUUUUAAACCUUCUGAAUCUCCUACUGAAUGGAAUUACACAUUGCAAAAAGCCUCAGUACAUGAGCACCCAACCAUAUUAUUAAGCAUCCUGAGAAUCUGUGAAGCUUCAAUGUCUUUGCUGGUUUUGACCCAAAAAUACCUUCAAAAAAUUAAUCUUUUAUUGGACAAAGUUCUACAGAAAACACAGAAAGUGCAAACAGGCAAAUUAUUAACCUGUAGAAGUCAAUACAUAUAUUCAACUUUGCUGUUUCAACAGGAACUUUUGUACAACAAAGGCAAAGUUCUUGGACUGGAUCAAGGUGUUGGGACUGCACAUGAUGCAGAGCAUAAACCUCUCCCAUUACCACCUAUGUCUGCUGUGGUCCAUGGAUGGUGUAGGAAGAGCAACCACUUCAAAAAAAUUCCUUGAAAAAAAGAAUCAAAAUGCCAAACCUCUGAAUAAAAUAAACUUAUGAAAUUGA